CUCUUACUCUUCCAUUAAAAUAUUGGGAAGUUCCAGCUCUCUGUUAUGGAUGGCAUAAAGCAUCCAACCAGUUUCAGUUCUCUUUGAUAUAUUAUAAAGAUUAGGACCAGCCUAUCAGGAAUACUUAUAGGAUAAAUAGAAAAUAGAAUUCAAUUGAACAAAACUAUAACCAACGAAUAUUGAAUCAAUAUAAGUUUCGUGUGUUUAUACAAGUGGCAACAAAAUACCCAACGUGUAAGUUUUACACUAUUUUCAUUAAACAGUUUGAUGAUGUAACCUCUUAAAAAUAGUUCAGUGAUUCAUCUUUAGAUAGGCAUCUGUAACCAUGAUUGUGUAACAUACAUUACACACAAGAGGAGGAAAUCUAGUUAUUUGAGUGAACUGUUGACUUGACCCUUCCAUCAAUAAGAUGAGAUCCUAGGAUUCAUCUUUUGAACCACACUGAUAAACUUGAAAAUAGACAAGUUUGAGUAGCUGAGCAGCUAAUCCAGAAGCGUAAAACUAUCGGUCAUAUUUAGUCAAAAUACCAACAGACCAAAUUAACCCUUAGAAAGAACACUAAACACAAAAAUUACCAUUUCAAAUCAACAAAAUUACUCGAAACACAACAUCCUACUUCGUUCGAAGGCAAAUGUAAAUGUAGCAAACCAAGUAUAACUCAUGAUUCCAUUUUAUUGCGAGGCAGGGAACUCUGGACUACUGCUUAGGAAGGCAGGGGUAGAGGAAAACAAUUGUUUACUUCAGACAUUAACCCUUAGAAAGAACACUAAAUACAAAAAUUACCAUUUCAAAUCAACAAAACUACCAUGAAACAUGCUCUGGCUUUACACGAAACACAACAUCCGAUUCGUUUCAAGGCAACAUCCUAAAAAUGCAGCAAACCAAAUAUAACUCAUGAUUCCAUUUUAAUGCGAGGCAGGGAACUCU
RNAcentral lists this long non-coding RNA (927 nucleotides) under Nicotiana benthamiana. Its description in RNAcentral is "long non-coding RNA (NBEN_LNC013123)". The record is from RNAcentral. Lineage: Eukaryota; Viridiplantae; Streptophyta; Magnoliopsida; Solanales; Solanaceae.